UUAAUUGAAGAGUUUGAUCAUGGCUCAGAUUGAACGCUGGCGGCAGGCCUAACACAUGCAAGUCGAGCGGCAGCACAGAGGAACUUGUUCCUUGGGUGGCGAGCGGCGGACGGGUGAGUAAUGCCUGGGAAAUUGCCCGGUAGAGGGGGGAUAACCAUUGGAAACGAUGGCUAAUACCGCAUAACCUCGCAAGAGCAAAGCAGGGGACCUUCGGGCCUUGCGCUACCGGAUAUGCCCAGGUGGGAUUAGCUAGUUGGUGAGGUAAGGGCUCACCAAGGCGACGAUCCCUAGCUGGUCUGAGAGGAUGA
RNAcentral lists this ribosomal RNA (308 nucleotides) under Vibrio cholerae. RNAcentral's name for it is "bacterial SSU rRNA". It matches the Rfam family "Bacterial small subunit ribosomal RNA", at positions 1 to 303 of the family's 1533-position model. Lineage: Bacteria; Pseudomonadati; Pseudomonadota; Gammaproteobacteria; Vibrionales; Vibrionaceae. The record is from RNAcentral.